GCGGGUGUGGCGGAACUGGCAUACGCGCUGGACUUAGGAUCCAGUGGGUUUUUCCCUUGGAGGUUCAAAUCCUCUCACCCGCACCA
Molecule: transfer RNA, 86 nt
Filed under: Syntrophomonadaceae bacterium
Lineage: Bacteria; Bacillati; Bacillota; Clostridia; Eubacteriales; Syntrophomonadaceae
Description: tRNA-Leu
Rfam family: tRNA
About the family: Transfer RNA (tRNA) molecules are approximately 80 nucleotides in length. Their secondary structure includes four short double-helical elements and three loops (D, anti-codon, and T loops).
Source: RNAcentral